AGAGACUGCACCGGAGCCCGCACACUCAGGGGGUCCAUCAGGUGGCCAUACACUUAGGGCCACCCAAUGGCAAAAGUGUUUUCAGUAGCCAGGUUACACGCUGCGGCCCUUAACAGUGCAGCUAGGCCCCUGUAAUCUUCCUCCCAGAAAACACAGAGCCGGAUGGGAGGAUGGCAGAGAGGAGGUUGUGGAGUGGGAGAACCUCUGACUCUCAACAGCCUCAGCCAGUCUAUUGGACCCCAGGGAAGCAACCCUCUUGCACCCAAAAGGUAGGAAACAGGAGGGUGGCUCAAAAUGUUUACAUUUUGCAUGUAUAUGUGUGUCAGUGAAUCUAUGUGUCUGCGUGUGUAUCUUUGUGUCAAUGUGUACUCCAUGUAUCUGUGUGUCUGUAUAUGUGUAUUAGUAUUUGCAUGAGUAUCAUUGUGUGUAUCUGUGUGUGUGUCUG
Molecule: non-coding RNA, 445 nt
Organism: Pelobates cultripes (western spadefoot toad)
Lineage: Eukaryota; Metazoa; Chordata; Amphibia; Anura; Pelobatidae
Source: the annotation of a GenBank genome assembly